This 369-nucleotide transfer-messenger RNA is filed under the name Patescibacteria group. Its description in RNAcentral is "01-FULL-43-15b sp001816385 Standard tmRNA". It matches the Rfam family "transfer-messenger RNA". Rfam says of the family: Bacterial tmRNA, also known as 10Sa RNA or SsrA, is named for its dual tRNA and mRNA-like properties. Its role is to liberate the mRNA from a stalled ribosome. RNAcentral also lists the same sequence under 1 other name. The record is from RNAcentral.
GGGGAUGAUAGGCAUCGACGGGAAAGUACUUUAACACGUUGCAAGCCGAGUUUGACUAACAACUCGUUAAACAAUAGUCAAAAAUAUAAAAGGCACGGGUCAAACCGAAGCCCGAGCUUAUAAUUACGCAUUCGCGUAAUAUAGCUCGCAUCCGCACACUAUGUGUCUGGUCGUAAUGUGUUGGGUGUCAACUGAUAACCCAGAACGCAACCAGUAACCUGAUCAGUACCGGCCAAGCCUUGAUCUUUGCUUGGAAACUAACUUUGGUUUGCUAGAGAGUUUCCCGGCGAGAAUAAUUAGCAAAAUAAGCUUGUAGACACGUUUAAAAAUCUUGCUCGGAUGAGGGUUCAACUCCCUCCAUCUCCACAA